UCUAAGCCAUACUACCCUGAACAUGCCCAAUCUCCUCUGAUCUCAGAAGCCAAGCAGGGUUGGGUCUGGUUAGUACUUGGAUGGGAAGGAGAGUAUCAAGGAACAGAA
This 108-nucleotide ribosomal RNA is filed under the name Prolemur simus (greater bamboo lemur). Lineage: Eukaryota; Metazoa; Chordata; Mammalia; Primates; Lemuridae. The record is from RNAcentral.